This 66-nucleotide ribosomal RNA is filed under the name Lactiplantibacillus plantarum 2165. RNAcentral describes it as "Lactobacillus plantarum 2165 partial 16S ribosomal RNA". It matches the Rfam family "Bacterial small subunit ribosomal RNA", at positions 1 to 65 of the family's 1533-position model. The record is from RNAcentral. Lineage: Bacteria; Bacillati; Bacillota; Bacilli; Lactobacillales; Lactobacillaceae.
UUAAUUUGAGAGUUUGAUCCUGGCUCAGGACGAACGCUGGCGGCGUGCCUAAUACAUGCAAGUCGA